Molecule: ribosomal RNA, 247 nt
Filed under: uncultured Phormidium sp.
Lineage: Bacteria; Bacillati; Cyanobacteriota; Cyanophyceae; Oscillatoriales; Oscillatoriaceae
Description: partial 16S ribosomal RNA
Rfam family: Bacterial small subunit ribosomal RNA
Source: RNAcentral
UCUGGGAAGAACAAAAUGACGGUACCAGAGGAAUCAGCAUCGGCUAACUCCGUGCCAGCAGCCGCGGUAAGACGGAGGAUGCAAGCGUUAUCCGGAAUGAUUGGGCGUAAAGCGUCCGUAGGUGGCAGUUCAAGUCUGCUGUCAAGGACCGGGGCUCAACCUCGGAAAGGCAGUGGAAACUGAACAGCUAGAGUAUGGUAGGGGCAAAGGGAAUUCCUGGUGUAGCGGUGAAAUGCGUAGAGAUCAG